AGAGUUUGAUUAUGGCUCAGGACGAACGCUGGCGGCGUGCUUAACACAUGCAAGUCGAGCGGAAAGGCCCUUCGGGGUACUCGAGCGGCGAACGGGUGAGUAACACGUGAGCAACCUGCCCCAGGCUUUGGGAUAACCCCGGGAAACCGGGGCUAAUACCGAAUAUGACCUCUGACCGCAUGGUUGGUGGUGGAAAGUUUUUCGGCUUGGGAUGGGCUCGCGGCCUAUCAGCUUGUUGGUGGGGUGAUGGCCUACCAAGGCGACGACGGGUAGCCGGCCUGAGAGGGCGACCGGCCACACUGGGACUGAGACACGGCCCAGACUCCUACGGGAGGCAGCAGUGGGGAAUAUUGCACAAUGGGCGGAAGCCUGAUGCAGCGACGCCGCGUGAGGGAUGACGGCCUUCGGGUUGUAAACCUCUUUCAGCGGGGACGAAGCGUAAGUGACGGUACCUGCAGAAGAAGCGCCGGCCAACUACGUGCCAGCAGCCGCGGUAAGACGUAGGGCGCGAGCGUUGUCCGGAUUUAUUGGGCGUAAAGAGCUCGUAGGCGGCUUGUCGCGUCGACCGUGAAAACUUGGGGCUCAACCCCAAGCCUGCGGUCGAUACGGGCAGGCUAGAGUUCGGUAGGGGAGACUGGAAUUCCUGGUGUAGCGGUGAAAUGCGCAGAUAUCAGGAGGAACACCGGUGGCGAAGGCGGGUCUCUGGGCCGAUACUGACGCUGAGGAGCGAAAGCGUGGGGAGCGAACAGGAUUAGAUACCCUGGUAGUCCACGCCCUAAACGAUGUCAACUAGUUGUCGGGCCUAAUUGAGGGUUUGGUAACGUAGCUAACGCGUGAAGUUGACCGCCUGGGGAGUACGAUCGCAAGAUUAAAACUCAAUGAAUUGACGGG
This 891-nucleotide ribosomal RNA is filed under the name uncultured Actinomycetes bacterium. RNAcentral's name for it is "bacterial SSU rRNA". It matches the Rfam family "Bacterial small subunit ribosomal RNA", at positions 8 to 917 of the family's 1533-position model. The record is from RNAcentral. Lineage: Bacteria; Bacillati; Actinomycetota; Actinomycetes.